UGGCUCCUCUGUCUCCCCACAGAUGAAGAGGCCAAGGAACUGGAAGAAGAGGAGUCAAAGACAGCCAUGACGCUACUGGAAAGCUAAGGCCAGGAAAAUAAAGGAGUCGGGGCCAGACGGCGGGUAGGAGAUGAGUCUGGCGGGUAAUCCCACUCCACCUAUCCAUCAACUUGGAGACUAUUUCCAGCGUCCCCUACAGAAUGUCAAAGCCUCACUGAGCAGAAGAUGAGUCCAUCAUCUUCUUUCUAAGACUUUCCCUCGAGUUUCCAUCAAAACACAAACACAUCAUGUGCCAUUAUUUUCUAUUGCCCUCACCUCCCUUUUUCUGUCAGUGGAGGGCGGCGGCGGUGAGUGAACGCAGUUGAGCCGGUGGUUCCGUGCAGUAUGCAAAAGAGAAGCUCUGUUUGAAAACUACAGGAUGUGACAGGAUCCUUUCUCUGUCGCUGACAUCACUCUGUAUGGGUUGUGAUGGGGCAUGUGCCAGAGAUCUCCUGUCUAAUAGGAAGUGAGACACUUAAAGAGAUGACCCUGCCUCAGUUGCCAUCACUGUCUCUCUGCCAGAGAGAGAGCUUGGCUCUCCCAUUACUCCUGCACUUGCUAAUUAGCGUCUGUCGCUGGAGUAACUUGUACCUGUCAGUGUGUGCCGCUCUCCUAUAUUCAGUAACUUGAGGGAAUUGAAAUUGAAUGCCAGCUAAGCUCCAACAAACUGCAAAUGGUGCAUGGGAUACACCCUGAUUUUCUCACUGACCUGACAGCCUUAUAUGUAAGAAAUUGUUUUUAAUGAACACACACUAUCUCAGCUACUUUCUCCUGCUGGGGUGCAAUGUUUUAUCUCCUCCAGACUCGGGGCUGUACCAGUUGUUUUAUUGCAUUUUUUUAGGUACUUGAGUAAGUCCCUGUGCCAUAUGUCCAUGUAUGAAUGCCAAAGCCAUUUGUGUCAGAUAACCCAGUGCCUAUUUACAUUAAAGAGACAUGGUGAAACUGCC
This is a non-coding RNA of Epinephelus lanceolatus (giant grouper), 986 nucleotides long. Lineage: Eukaryota; Metazoa; Chordata; Actinopteri; Perciformes; Serranidae. The record is from RefSeq and is a predicted model, not a curated record.